Molecule: long non-coding RNA, 509 nt
Organism: Homo sapiens (human)
Lineage: Eukaryota; Metazoa; Chordata; Mammalia; Primates; Hominidae
Exons: 3
Source: RefSeq, a predicted model, not a curated record
GGUUGACAGCACACGUCAGAAACAUUGAGAAGAGGAACAGACCCAAGCAUGAAUGAGGAUUCAUUUUCAUAUCUGGAUCUCCAAGCACUUCAGUUAAAGGUGAAGAGCCGCCUUCUCCCAGGUGUUGCAGUAGAUCAGGAGCUGCACUGUCAGAAGGGAUGGGCACCACGCGGAGACUGUCCACUCCCUGCAGUGCACAGCACGAUGAAGACUUACUGAAUUGCACCUAAACAUAUCAACAACCCACUGAUAAAGCUUGGACAUUUGUCCCCUUCAAACCUCGUGUUGAAAUUUCAUCGCCAAUGUUGGAGCCCAUCUUGGUGAAGACAGCCUGUCUGUCCACAGGGAGAACCAGGAGAAGCCCAAGUGGUCUUGACUCUGACUCGCUCCAGGCGUCUCCUGUUGAUCAAUGCCACAGUCCUCCUCCAGGUGCCCUACCUGCAGUUUGGCAGGCUCGAUUCUCUCUCUCUGGGAUCUCGUAUAUUCUCCUGACACUGACCUUCACAGGC